GUCUUAUCCAGAGUGUUUUAGGGAACUGGCCCGGUGAGAACACAGCAACCUACUUGUAUGAGCAAGGUGCUAAUUCCAGCAGCAACAAGCUGAAGAGAUAAGGA
Molecule: non-coding RNA, 104 nt
Filed under: Loigolactobacillus backii
Lineage: Bacteria; Bacillati; Bacillota; Bacilli; Lactobacillales; Lactobacillaceae
Description: Lactobacillus backii SAM-I sequence
Rfam family: SAM riboswitch aptamer (S box leader)
About the family: The SAM riboswitch is found upstream of a number of genes which code for proteins involved in methionine or cysteine biosynthesis in Gram-positive bacteria. The SAM riboswitch acts at the level of transcription termination control.
Source: Rfam by way of RNAcentral